This 330-nucleotide ribosomal RNA is filed under the name uncultured bacterium. RNAcentral's name for it is "bacterial SSU rRNA". It matches the Rfam family "Bacterial small subunit ribosomal RNA", at positions 568 to 898 of the family's 1533-position model. The record is from RNAcentral.
UUCGUAGGCGGUGCGGCAAGUCGGGAGUGAAAUCUCUGGGCUCAACUCAGAGGCUGCUUCCGAAACUGCCGUGCUCGAGUGUGGGAGAGGCGCGUGGAAUUGCAGGUGUAGCGGUGAAAUGCGUAGAUAUCUGCAGGAACACCCGUGGCGAAAGCGGCGCGCUGGACCACAACUGACGCUGAGGAACGAAAGCUAGGGGAGCAAACAGGAUUAGAUACCCUGGUAGUCCUAGCCCUAAACGAUCAGGACUUGGGGUGCCGCCCGUUCGGGCGUCGUCCCGGAGCUAACGCGUUAAGUCCUGCACCUGGGGAGUACGGUCGCAAGACUGAA